CAAGAAAUCCAGGAUUGGGCCAAAAGGAAUCUCAUGAGGUUCAACAAGAACUAGUGCAGAUUCCUGAAUUUAGGAUGAAACAAUUCCAUGCACUAGUAUAGGCUGGGGGCUGACUGGUUGGGCAGCAGCUCUGCA
Long non-coding RNA from Gavialis gangeticus (Gharial), 135 nucleotides. RefSeq lists it as uncharacterized. The record is from RefSeq and is a predicted model, not a curated record. Lineage: Eukaryota; Metazoa; Chordata; Crocodylia; Gavialidae. The transcript is spliced from 3 exons.